Molecule: ribosomal RNA, 465 nt
Filed under: uncultured bacterium
Lineage: Bacteria
Description: partial 16S ribosomal RNA
Rfam family: Bacterial small subunit ribosomal RNA
Source: RNAcentral
GACGAACGCUGGCGGCGUGCUUAACACAUGCAAGUCGAACGGAAAGGCCCUGCUUGCAGGGUACUCGAGUGGCGAACGGGUGAGUAACACGUGGGUGACCUGCCCUGCACUUCGGGAUAAGCCUGGGAAACUGGGUCUAUUACCGGAUAUGACCUUCCAUGUAGUGUGGGGGGUGGAAAGAUUUAUCGGUGUGGGAUGAGCUCGCGGCCUAUCAGCUUGUUGGUGGGGUAAUGGCUUACCAAGGCGUCGACGGGUAGCCGGCCUGAGAGGGUGGACGGCCACAUUGGGACUGAGAUACGGCCCAGACUCCUACGGGAGGCAGCAGUGGGGAAUAUUGCACAAUGGGCGGAAGCCUGAUGCAGCGACGCCGCGUGGGGGAUGACGGCCUUCGGGUUGUAAACCGCUUUCGACAGGGACGAAGCUUCGGUGACGGUACCUGUAUAGGAAGCACCGACUAACUACGUG